This 492-nucleotide ribosomal RNA is filed under the name uncultured bacterium. Its description in RNAcentral is "partial 16S ribosomal RNA". It matches the Rfam family "Bacterial small subunit ribosomal RNA", at positions 30 to 507 of the family's 1533-position model. The record is from RNAcentral.
AGUGAACGCUGGCGGUAGGCCUAACACAUGCAAGUCGAACGGCAGCACAGUAAGAGCUUGCUCUCACGGGUGGCGCGUGGCGGACGGGUGAGGAAUACAUCGGAAUCUACUUUUUCGUGGGGGCUAACGUAGGGAAACUUACGCUAAUACCGCAUACGACCUACGGGCGAAAGCAGGGGAUCUUCGGACCUUGCGCGAUUGAAUGAGCCGAUGUCGGAUUAGCUAGUUGGCGGGGUAAAGGCCCACCAAGGCGACGAUCCGUAGCUGGUCUGAGGGGAUGGUCAGGCACCCUGGAAGAGAGGCAGGGUCCAGACACCGGCACGAGGCAGCAGUGCAGAAUAUUGGACGAUGGAGGAGAGCCGGAUACAGCAAUACCGCGGCAGUGAAGAAGGCGUUCGGGUUGUAAAGCGCUGUUGUUGGGAAGGAAGAGCAGCUGGUUAGUACGCGACGGUACUGACGGUACCCGAAGAAUAAGCACCGGCUAACUUCGUG